RNAcentral lists this non-coding RNA (23 nucleotides) under Cricetulus griseus (Chinese hamster). Lineage: Eukaryota; Metazoa; Chordata; Mammalia; Rodentia; Cricetidae. The record is from RNAcentral.
AGCCGCCAAUGGGGUAACUUUUU